This 253-nucleotide ribosomal RNA is filed under the name uncultured bacterium. RNAcentral's name for it is "partial 16S ribosomal RNA". It matches the Rfam family "Bacterial small subunit ribosomal RNA", at positions 524 to 776 of the family's 1533-position model. The record is from RNAcentral.
UACAGAGGUCCCAAGCGUUGUUCGGAUUCACUGGGCGUAAAGGGUGCGUAGGUGGUUGGGUAAGUUUGGCGUGAAAUCUCCGAGCUCAACUCGGAAACUGCGCUGAAUACUAUCCGGCUUGAGGAAUGGAGGGGAGACUGGAAUACUUGGUGUAGCAGUGAAAUGCGUAGAUAUCAAGUGGAACACCAGUGGCGAAGGCGAGUCUCUGGACAUUUCCUGACACUGAGGCACGAAAGCCAGGGGAGCAAACGGG